UGUGUGUGUGUGUGUGUGUGUGUGUGUGUGUGUGUGUGUGUGUGUGUGUGUGUGUGUGUGUGUGUGUGUGUGUGUGUGUGUGUGAGAGUGGCUAGAGUCCAGUGUAUGUGUGUGUGUUUAAGUGGCUAGAGUCCAGUGAGUGUGUGUGGCUAGAGUCCAGUGUGUGAUUGUGUGUGUGUGAGAGAGAGAGUGGUUAGAGUCCAGUGUGUGUGUGUGAGAGAGAGUGGGUGGAUGUGUGUGUGUGUGUGUGAGAGUGGGUGGAGUCCAGUGUGUGUGUGUGUGUGGGUGGAGUCCAGUGUGUGUGUGUGAGAGUGGGUGGAGUCCAGUGUGUGUGUGAGAGUGGGUAGAGUCCAGUGUGUGUGUGAAAGUGGGUAGAGUCCAGUGAGUGUGGGUAGAGUCCAGUGUGUGUGAGAGUGGGUAGAGUCCAGUGUGUGUGAGAGUGGGUAGAGUCCAGUGUGUGUGAGUGGCUAGAGUCCAGUGUGUGUGUGUGAGUGGCUA
Molecule: long non-coding RNA, 498 nt
Filed under: Salmo salar (Atlantic salmon)
Lineage: Eukaryota; Metazoa; Chordata; Actinopteri; Salmoniformes; Salmonidae
Description: lncRNA (ENSSSAG00000084369.1, ENSSSAG00000098232.1)
Source: RNAcentral